AUACCUUUUUCGGUCUUUUGGCUAAGAUCAAGUGUAGUAUCUGUUCUUAUCAGUUUAAUAUCUGAUAUGUGGGCCAUGUGCCCACAACGAUAUUAAAUCUAUUUUUUAUGAGGGAGGGUCCACCACACUAGCUUGCUAAUGGGGCUCUCGUGUGUCGCUUGGGCGUUGCACUACUGCUCAGGCUAGGUGCACCCUAA
Molecule: non-coding RNA, 197 nt
Organism: Triticum aestivum (bread wheat)
Lineage: Eukaryota; Viridiplantae; Streptophyta; Magnoliopsida; Poales; Poaceae
Source: Rfam